CUUUUCGUCUUUUUAAUGAUGCUUUUCUUUAGACAUAAACUUGGUACUUUUAUCUGAUUUGAGCUCGUUUCUGCAUGAACAGAAGAUUCCUUCAUAAUAGGGGCGGAGUCAACACUCGAUGAGGUAGCAGAACUUACAAGUUGGGUGUUGUCAUUGUUGCAGACAAUCGCCGCCCGCCAAGAAGCUUGAAGCCAGAUGCAUUAGGAAGGAGGAAAAAGAGUCUGAUGGACUUGGGCCAUUUUUAAAUUUUUUGUUGUUUUUCCAAAUAUUGGACCUUUAGCUUUGGGGUUUUUCUUUAAAUUAGGCCUAUUAAUUUAUCCACUGCUACUUUGUAUUGUACCCCUAUCUCUAUUCGCGCAAUUGCAUUUUGCAAAAAAUACGAAGGUGAAAGGCGCAAACCAAAAUCCAAACCCUAUAUCUCUCUCCCACAACUAAUGCGUUGCCCCGACGCCGUUAUUGAGCUAUCAACCUUGUGAUGUGAGUGAAUGGGUUUUUCCUUAAUCAGUCAUUUUAUAGAAACUCAUCUUAAUCUUUGCUAUUGCUAGUUUUAACAUUUGUACAGAUUCUAACUUCAAUUUACCCUUUUUUGUGGUUGAUGUUAGGACAAAUUGAGGACGGUGGUGCAUAUGUUCCGACCUAUCACCUUUGAGUAGUCGACGUCUAGCCUCCGCCACUACCUAUAGCUGCUGUGUGAACCUCUCCUUUUCUUUUCUGUUUUUUUUUUUAGUUAAUUUUUAAUGCCAUUUUCAUUGUCGAAUGAUUUCUAAUUUAUAUUUUAUGAAUUAUGACCGUGAGCCUGCUGCUUGCUGCUGAG
Molecule: long non-coding RNA, 814 nt
Filed under: Olea europaea subsp. europaea
Lineage: Eukaryota; Viridiplantae; Streptophyta; Magnoliopsida; Lamiales; Oleaceae
Source: RNAcentral